AAUUAUUAUUAUUAUACCCCACGCAACGAAGUUGCGGAGGGUAUAAUGUUUUUGACCCGUCCGUCUGUCCGUCCGUCAGUCCGUCCGUCCGUCCGUCCAUCAGUCCGUCAGUCCUGUUUCUUGUCAUCGCAACUCCUCUCAAACCACACAACAGAAUUUCACACGAACCUUUUCAGAUAAUAAGGACAUACUAUGUAGUUGUGCAUAUCGACGGGAAAUUGCGAUUCGAUUUUUUUUCUAGGAGUUGUGCCCCUUUGAACUUAUUUACUUUAAUGUACUACUGCAACAGUUUGUCAUCGCAACUCCUCUCAAACCACACAACAGAAUUUCACGAAACCUUUUA
Molecule: long non-coding RNA, 343 nt
Filed under: Mytilus galloprovincialis (Mediterranean mussel)
Lineage: Eukaryota; Metazoa; Mollusca; Bivalvia; Mytilida; Mytilidae
Source: RNAcentral